This 557-nucleotide ribosomal RNA is filed under the name uncultured bacterium. RNAcentral describes it as "bacterial SSU rRNA". It matches the Rfam family "Bacterial small subunit ribosomal RNA", at positions 28 to 582 of the family's 1533-position model. The record is from RNAcentral.
AUUGAACGCUGGCGGAAUGCUUUACACAUGCAAGUCGAACGGCAGCACGGGAGCUUGCUCCUGGUGGCGAGUGGCGAACGGGUGAGUAACAUAUCGGAACGUACCCAGUAAUGGGGGAUAACUAGUCGAAAGAUUAGCUAAUACCGCAUACGCCCUGAGGGGGAAGGCGGGGGAUCGUAAGACCUCGCGUUAUUGGAGCGGCCGAUAUCUGAUUAGCUAGUUGGUGGGGUAAAGGCCUACCAAGGCGACGAUCAGUAGCUGGUCUGAGAGGACGACUAGCCACACUGGAACUGAGACACGGUCCAGACUCCUACGGGAGGCAGCAGUGGGGAAUUUUGGACAAUGGGCGCAAGCCUGAUCCAGCCAUUCCGCGUGAGUGAAGAAGGCCUCGGUUGUAAGCUCUUCGCAAGGGUAAGAAACGAUGCAGCUUAAUAAGCUGCGUUAAUGACGGUACCUUGAUAAGAAGCACUGGCUAACUACGUGCCAGCAGCCGCGGUAAUACGUAGGGUGCGAGCGUUAAUCGGAAUACUGGGCGUAAAGCGUGCGCAGGCGGUUUU